GAUGAACGCUGGCGGCGUGCCUAAUACAUGCAAGUCGAGCGAACGGACGAGAAGCUUGCUUCUCUGAUGUUAGCGGCGGACGGGUGAGUAACACGUGGAUAACCUACCUAUAAGACUGGGAUAACUUCGGGAAACCGGAGCUAAUACCGGAUAAUAUUUUGAACCGCAUGGUUCAAAAGUGAAAGACGGUCUUGCUGUCACUUAUAGAUGGAUCCGCGCUGCAUUAGCUAGUUGGUAAGGUAACGGCUUACCAAGGCAACGAUGCAUAGCCGACCUGAGAGGGUGAUCGGCCACACUGGAACUGAGACACCGUCCAGACUCCUACGGGAGGCGGCAGUAGGGAAUCUUCCGCAAUGGGCGAAAGCCUGACGGAGCAACGCCGCGUGAGUGAUGAAGGUCUUCGGAUCGUAAAACUCUGUUAUUAGGGAAGAACAUAUGUGUAAGUAACUGUGCACAUCUUGACGGUACCUAAUCAGAAAGCCACGGCUAACUACGUGCCAGCAGCCGCGGUAAUACGUAGGUGGCAAGCGUUAUCCGGAAUUAUUGGGCGUAAAGCGCGCGUAGGCGGUUUUUUAAGUCUGAUGUGAAAGCCCACGGCUCAACCGUGGAGGGUCAUUGGAAACUGGAAAACUUGAGUGCAGAAGAGGAAAGUGGAAUUCCAUGUGUAGCGGUGAAAUGCGCAGAGAUAUGGAGGAACACCAGUGGCGAAGGCGACUUUCUGGUCUGUAACUGACGCUGAUGUGCGAAAGCGUGGGGAUCAAACAGGAUUAGAUACCCUGGUAGUCCACGCCGUAAACGAUGAGUGCUAAGUGUUAGGGGGUUUCCGCCCCUUAGUGCUGCAGCUAACGCAUUAAGCACUCCGCCUGGGGAGUACGACCGCAAGGUUGAAACUCAAAGGAAUUGACGGGGACCCGCACAAGCGGUGGAGCAUGUGGUUUAAUUCGAAGCAACGCGAAGAACCUUACCAAAUCUUGACAUCCUUUGACAACUCUAGAGAUAGAGCCUUCCCCUUCGGGGGACAAAGUGACAGGUGGUGCAUGGUUGUCGUCAGCUCGUGUCGUGAGAUGUUGGGUUAAGUCCCGCAACGAGCGCAACCCUUAAGCUUAGUUGCCAUCAUUAAGUUGGGCACUCUAAGUUGACUGCCGGUGACAAACCGGAGGAAGGUGGGGAUGACGUCAAAUCAUCAUGCCCCUUACGAUUUGGGCUACACACGUGCUACAAUGGACAAUACAAAGGGCAGCGAAACCGCGAGGUCAAGCAAAUCCCAUAAAGUUGUUCUCAGUUCGGAUUGUAGUCUGCAACUCGACUACAUGAAGCUGGAAUCGCUAGUAAUCGUAGAUCAGCAUGCUACGGUGAAUACGUUCCCGGGUCU
This 1372-nucleotide ribosomal RNA is filed under the name uncultured bacterium. Its description in RNAcentral is "bacterial SSU rRNA". It matches the Rfam family "Bacterial small subunit ribosomal RNA", at positions 28 to 1381 of the family's 1533-position model. The record is from RNAcentral.